UUUAAAUUGAGAGUUUGAUCCUGGCUCAGGAUGAACGCUGGCGGCGUGCCUAAUACAUGCAAGUCGUACGCUAGCCGCUGAAUUGAUCCUUCGGGUGAAGUGAGGCAAUGACUAGAGUGGCGAACUGGUGAGUAACACGUAAGAAACCUGCCCUUUAGUGGGGGAUAACAUUUGGAAACAGAUGCUAAUACCGCGUAACAACAAAUCACACAUGUGAUCUGUUUGAAAGGUCCUUUUGGAUCGCUAGAGGAUGGUCUUGCGGCGUAUUAGCUUGUUGGUAGGGUAGAAGCCUACCAAAGCAAUGAUGCGUAGCCGAGUUGAGAGACUGGCCGGCCACAUUGGGACUGAGACACUGCCCAAACUCCUACGGGAGGCUGCAGUAGGGAAUUUUCCGCAAUGCACGAAAGUGUGACGGAGCGACGCCGCGUGUGUGAUGAAGGCUUUCGGGUCGUAAAGCACUGUUGUAAGGGAAGAAUAACUGAAUUCAGAGAAAGUUUUCAGCUUGACGGUACCUUACCAGAAAGGGAUGGCUAAAUACGUGCCAGCAGCCGCGGUAAUACGUAUGUCCCGAGCGUUAUCCGGAUUUAUUGGGCGUAAAGCGAGCGCAGACGGUUUAUUAAGUCUGAUGUGAAAUCCCGAGGCCCAACUUCGGAACUGCAUUGGAAACUGAUUUAUUUGAGUGCGAUAGAGGCAAGUGGAACUCCAUGUGUAGCGGUGAAAUGCGUAGAUAUGUGGAAGAACACCAGUGGCGAAAGCGGCUUGCUAGAUCGUAACUGACGUUGAGG
This 785-nucleotide ribosomal RNA is filed under the name Oenococcus oeni. Its description in RNAcentral is "bacterial SSU rRNA". It matches the Rfam family "Bacterial small subunit ribosomal RNA", at positions 1 to 751 of the family's 1533-position model. Lineage: Bacteria; Bacillati; Bacillota; Bacilli; Lactobacillales; Lactobacillaceae. The record is from RNAcentral.